AUUGAACGCUGGCGGCAGGCCUAACACAUGCAAGUCGAACGGUAACAGGGAUCAGCUUGCUGAUUCGCUGACGAGAGGCGGACGUGAGAGUAAUGUCUGGGAAACUGCAUGAUGGAGGGGGACAACUACUGGAAACGGUAGCUAAUACCGCAUAACGUCGCAAGACCAAAGAGGGGGACCUUUGGGCCUCUUGCCAUCGGAUGCGCCCAGAUGGGAUUAGCUAGUAGGUGGGGUAACGGCUCACCUAGGCGACGAUCCCUAGCUGGUGUGAGGGGAUGACGAGCCACACUGGAACUGAGACACGGUCCAGGCUCCUACGGGAGGCAGCGGUGGGGAAUAGUGGACGAUGGGCGGAAGACUGAUGCAGCCAUGCCGGCUGUAUGAAGAAGGCCUUCGGGUUGUAAAGUACUUUCAGCGGGGAGGAAGGGAGUAAAGUUAAUACCUUUGCUUAUUGACGUUACCCGCAGAAGAAGCACCGGCUAACUCCGUG
RNAcentral lists this ribosomal RNA (490 nucleotides) under uncultured bacterium. RNAcentral describes it as "partial 16S ribosomal RNA". It matches the Rfam family "Bacterial small subunit ribosomal RNA", at positions 30 to 507 of the family's 1533-position model. The record is from RNAcentral.